CUGCUGCCUGCGUCCUCUGCCAUUGUGCCAGUCCCCUCCGGUCCCGGCCGCAGCCUGCAGCCUGCAUUGCCCGCCUGCGUAGCUCAUCUGCCAGCGCAUCUGCACCAGCCAGAUUUUAAGUGCCCGAAGUGGAAUGAUCUGUGCCACUCUUUUCUAAGAGAUGCUAUUUAUAACCUCGGAGCAGGCCUGUGGAGUUAUUUCUGAAGAUACGGUUGAAGCUUUUGGAACAUGCUUUAAUACGCCUUUCGCGUCUCUCCUUGUCAAUGGGGGACUUGUCCCCAAGAUAGUCACCCAAGCACAGUGCUGAAACAUCACACGACUUUGACAGAUAGAGAUCCGAACUCCCAGUGGCUUCGAUAGCAACCUGGAUGUAAUAGGAAUUAUUGAUCGUCUUUGAGAGAUGAAAAACUGAGUCUUCUCUAGGUGAAGCUUCUCCUUGGGUACCGGGAUGGUGAGUGCCGAGGACAGCCUCAUUCAGAGGGAAGCCCGCAGUAGUUCUACUCCAGCCCACACGUCUCUGCUUACGAAGUGAUUGCAUUCCUUUUCGGUUCCUAUUUGUGUCUGGCCGUGCUACGCGGUCUCCUCAUCGACGGAGGGAGGGCAGCUUCUGACUUUUGGGGUUGGGAAAAUGGCUCAGCAUGGAGCCUAACCAGAGAGAGCACACGGGGAUGCCGAGGCCACUGUCGCUUUGACGUGAGUCACAGAGCGGGAAACAGAGCCAUGGUGACACGGAGCGACCAUACCUUCCGGUGGGUAAGGGACUUGUGCCACAGAAGCCCUCCUUCCCUCUGGUCCAUUAGGUGGAAGAAUGGAAUGCAUACAUUGAUUUUCCAGCCAAUAAGCAGACAAAGACCAAGAAGGAAAACAGGCAUGGAAAAUUGUGUGUCGAUACUUAGAGAAACAAGGUGAUUGCAGUAAUUGAGCAGAACCAAAAGAAGUCACACAAGUAAUUAUGAACUCUUCUUAGGGUAUCCGUGCCGAUCUGAUUUCCCGAUUUUAAAACGGGCUGGGUGGGAGUCUGUAGACCCCCAACCUUCAUCUCAGACCGACCGAAUUCACGUUAGGUAGAUUAGCAAGUCUCUCCAAGGAACAAAAAAUCAUAUUAAGAGUUUUAACAAGAAACCCAUUUGUAAUAGUGGCCCAGCGUUUCACAAGACCAGGGGCUCCUCAUGGCUGUCAUGGUACCAAAAGAUCCCUUACUCUUUUGUGUCGCCAAGAUGGGGAAAAGACAUUCAUUCUGGAAAGGACUUAACCUUUGCCAGGGAAAAUGAGAGGGAGAGAGGGCAGAAGAAUGGAAAAGGGAGGCCAGAGCGUGGGAGGGAAGGGUGAGAAUUCAGAGGAUAUGUAUUUGAGAGUAAGGAGGAGAAAGAAUUCAAGUGUGUGUACCUCACACACAGAAGUCCCCCAGCCACAACCCCAUGUGCUCCUGAAGGUUUAGAGAGAGGAGGGAUCCCAGGGGAACUGUCUUUGUGUGCUUGGUGAUAGCCCAGACACUCCUGCACUCUCAGUGAAAGGGAUCCUACUGCGAUGGACAUCGGAUUUUCCCAUAUCAGGCAGGAGGGAGAUGACAAUGUGGUCCCCUAGCCAGUCAGAAGCAGAGCAAGGUUGAUACCUGCCCCAAACUUUGUUUUCAUUGUGUUGCAACAUUCAAUGGCAACGCCACUGUCCCGGGUCGGCUGGGACAGUAAAACCAGACAAGACCGCAGAUUUUAAGCCCCUUGAACACAGACUUGUAGCUAAUCCAUGCUUAGAAAUGUUAGUGUAUCUUCAACCCCUCAUGAAGCCGUAAGCAUGUGUGCAGACUAAUGCCUCCCAGUUAGUUACCAAGCCAGGCUUACUUCAGACGUUUGUACUUAGGGAGAGAAAGCAUUUUUUUUUCUUUAAUAGGAGAAAAACUUUAAUUUUAUGAAAUAGCCUCUAAGAGACUCUCCGAUGUUGCUGAGAAUUGAGUUCUCGGUUCCAUUACAAAUGAAAACAAUAGAAACUGCUGGCCAAGGCGGCGCAAUCAAUUACAGGUGACUGUCGGGAGUGGUAUUUACCGGGGAAGCAAUCGGGAAGCACAGCAAUAUUGAAACACAGUGGGAGUUGCAUUGUUCCUUAAUGCCUCUGGCCCUCUGGAUACAUACAGAUGUGUACAGAUGUGCGGGAUACGGGUUUCUUUAAAGCUCGCUCUCCUAGCUCCUGAGGGAUUUCAAUUCAUCUCCAUACUGUGCAGGUUGUUCUUAGUAGAGUGUGUGCCUUAGGAGUCGGGGACAGCGAGGCUUGGGAUGCAAAGGCGGAUCCUGUUGAUGCACAGGAAACACACUGAAGCUAAGUAGAGCUGUGUAAAUUAACACCAUCUGGGUUAAUAAGGCCGAUGUUGACAGAGUUUAAAAUUGCUUCCUCAAUUAAAGAGCCCGGGGAAAUCUAUAUGUUUGGGUCUCAAGGAGGACACACCAGAGAGUGCUAAAGAGUCUUUGUUUUGCUAAAAAUAAAGAACCCAGGGCUUUACUUCACACAUUUUGAGAGGAAGGAGUUGGUGUGAAAUAACCUGAACCAAUGGGACCCCACCCCUGGGCCUUCGCAGCAGCAGACUGUCGAAUAGACAGGCUACAUUAUUGCUUUGGCAGACUGACACAGCUUUGGCACAUUCCUCUGCAAGGAUUGGGAAGAUGCUCAUUUCCUUAGCCCCAGGGCUCCGGGCCUGCUUUGUAUUCAGCCUUCAUCAUUCUGUUCUAUGAUCACUACUAUUCCAUUUUACAGAGUAGAAUGUUGAGGCACAGAAAAAUCAAGAAGCACCCUGCCACAUGGCCAGGGAGUGGUAGUCUGUAGAAGGGUGUGCUUCUGUGCUCACACCCAGGCAUGCUGGGGCUCUAGACUUUACAGCUGGGCCCAGUGGGUCUCCGCUGACUCUGUACCAUCGUGACAACAGUGUAGCACGGUGUUCGGCCCACAUCAUUGGCAUUUCUCAUCACAAUCCUGGCUGGGGCUAGCCUGGUCUUCUAUCUCCCGUUAGUAUUCCAACUAACAGAAAGUUUACUUGACUUUACACAAUUAAGUUUUGGAUAUAAAUAUCAACAGUUAAUUCAUGGAGAAGCUUUGUCUCCCACAAUACUAUACUAAAAUAGUAACCUAGACUGUUCUUCCUUUGAACAUGAGUUGGAAGGUCCAGUCCUCCUUGGAGUCAUCUUCCCAAGGUGACCCUCAUCUGAGAGCAUCUUCCACAAUCUCCAACACCCUUAGCCUGCUGGCAGCUUUUGGAACUGGCUGUUCACAUCUUUCUCCAUGAAGAGGAAGACCCCGUUUUCCUCAUCGUGACCCAUCAUUUUUUUCUUCAUCUGUUUUUACUUAGUUAUCCCUACUUCUGGGUCUGCAGCUCAGGAUCUGGGGUCAACUCGGAGUGCUUAGGGUUUUAGAGACCCUGGGGCGCUAUGUGUAAAUCUGAUGAACAUACUUCCACAUGGAUGGGAAAACAAGGUCUAUGACUUAAAUCAGAUUAUCAAAGAGGUCAUAUGCCUCCUGGAAAAUUUAAAUUAUGUGGCACUGUGGUGGUCUGAAAGAAAAUGGCUCCCAAAGGGUGUGGCACUACUUGGAGGUGUGGCCUUGUUGGGGGGAGUAUGUCAUGGUGAGGGUGAGCUUUGAGGUCUCUUUUGCUCAAGCUUUUCUCAGUGUGUCACUCAGUCUACUUCCUGUUGCCUCUGAGUCAAGAUGUAGGACUCUCAGCUCCAGCACCGCAUCAGCCUGUGUGCCGCCAUGUUCCCCAUCCUGAUGAUAAUGGAAUGAACCUCUGAAACUGUAAGCAAGCAAGCAAGCAAUUAAAUAUUUUUAUUGAUAAGAGUUGCCACGGUCAUAAUGUCUCUUCGUAGUAAUAAAAAAGCCGCAGGCGCUAUGAAUUUCCAUAGGGUGAGAAGGUUGUUCCUAAGAUACUUUGAGUCCUCUCUAUAAUCUUGGCUCUAUUUCAUAAGUCACACUCCACUUGGUUUUUCGUUAUGCAAGGUAGUAGAAUAACAAGAUGGCGGGGCACUGCCUACUUACAAAUUUUGGACUCCAAUACCAUGAGAAACUUUUGUGGAGAAUGUCUACAUGUCCAUUGCGUUCCAAAAGUACAGAUUGCCCCAUCUUUUCUUCAUAGGUUAAUUUUCAAACACUAUUUAUAAAGUUAUUACUUUUAGUGGGCACUCCAGUCAGAGAUUUGUAACUGUCACAUUAAAAUGAAGAUUGCUGACUUAAAUAUUGCGAAGAUCUACUGAAACUGGACUUGCGUGAAAACACAUGCCCAAGCUAAAUGUGCUUUCAGGUGAGCCAGCGUCUCCCUAUCGCCUCUUCCGGCACCCUCCUCCCCUGUGUACUUUCUUAUUGUUCUCACGUAUUUUUCCACCUUAGAGAAUCACAUUUCUCCUACCCAGUCAUCUCAUUCUUGUAGGCAUCCCUGUCACCCUGUUCUGCAGCUGUAAGAUUAAAAUCCUAGAAGGGGAGAGGGGGAAAGGACUGUGUUCCUGAGGUUAACUCCACAGGCUAGGAGUCUAGAGGGCCCUCAGCUGCAACCUGUUGUUGAGCUCCCAGCUCAGCCUUUCUCACGCCUCCUGCCCUGCAGGGGAAGCUGUGGUCCUCCCAUGGGCAUUCCCCAACUCCACACACUUGGAGCCCACAAACAGGGUCUGAGCUUCGGAUAUGAAAGUGAGAGGAAUCUUUUUGUUCCAGGCACUUGGUGGGGUCAGACUGAAGCCAAGAGUCCAGCUGAGAAGGCUGAUAUCUAGCUGCCCUUCCGGGCCUGCUGUGUUUCCCGCCUCCCAUAUUCCUAGGGCGCCUACCCAGCCAGUUUUCCUACCUGCAGCUGAUCUAGGAAAUUCAACCAGAAAGGACACUGUCUGCUGAAAUCUUGAAAACAAUUGCAGUUUGUGGCUAAGCAGCUCCAGUUUUGUGAUAGAGUAAGGGAAAACCAGAAUUUAAAACAGCAUUAUAAAGUCUCGGGGCCCUUUCGUUACCAGGAAUACCGAUAUUCUAGAAAUGGCAAGAAAAUGCACGCAGCUCCCACGGAGUACCGUAUUGAGGAUGACUCAUGUCACUUUCAAUUUUCAGAGGCCAGUAAACGGCAGCGUGAGGAAGCGGCCAGUAGCAUCAAAAGCAACGGUUUUGUCUUAUGUAAGCAUCAAACUGAGAAGUUAACUCCCAUGAAUGAAGAUGAGCAGCAGAAACUAUUCUGGAAUUCAAGCAUCGCCAGGGAUGACCACAAGCGGAAGACAGAGGCGAGAAUACUGUCAUAGUGUCUUUCCAGCUUUGCUACGAUUUUCUUUGAAUUUCUGUGGCUGGUUGCAUGCUUGCAAAUCUCCUCCACGAGAAUAGAACCCCUGGAGACUGCAGUGCCAAGCUCAUUAUGGAAUGCUUUUCUUUUGCUUACAUACCUGGUGGGAAGCAGGGUGCCGAGCUGAGAUGCGCGAAGCAAGCAACUCAAGGGUGGAUUUGGGCAGUACAUUGCUGCUAGACUGUGGUCUGGAGAAUCUAAGUGUUUCAUCAUCACGUGGGAGUCCCUGCAAAGUACAGGCGCUGGCUCUACCCUAAGCCUGUUGUAGCAGGAUUGGUGUUCUUACAAGAUUUCCAGUAAUGUCAUAACAGCAAUGAGCUGCUUCUUGGGUGAGACAUGGUUGCUAUCUCUUUCUCAUCAUCAUGGCUGCUCCCUGGCCUGUGGGGAAGCUGAAGAUAGUCAAACAGAAGACCAAGAAGUUCAUCCAGCACAGAUUAACCAGGCCAGGUCUCCUAAGAGGACGCAUAAUUCCUGAAAAUUAGAACAGCCUGCUCACCUUGAAUGUCUGGAAAUUGACAUUCUGUGCGGCUAUCUGCAGUCAUAAGCCUGGAUACUUGCCGGAAGCCCCGCUGUUUCGAGCAGUUACUGAGGCCAGAGAAGCUGGGAGAGAGAGAGAGAGGAGACUGCACAGUAUCUCAGCCAUUCUGUAAUAUCAAAUCUGAAAGAGCUGUGAACACCAAUACACGCGUUGCCCCCUCUUUCUCUGAUUGGUAAUGACAACAAGUCAUUGUUUAUGGGUGGGGAACACUAAAGUGGUCUUUCCGGAUGGUGUAACGGGGGCAGGAAAUCAUUUUAUGAUGCCACAGCGCUACAGUUAAUGCAAGGAGGGUGUUAGCCGCCAUGGGAUAGCGCAGUUAGCACUGUCUGACUUCUCUCAGAAGUGCAGCAUCUAAGAGAACAGAAGAGGGAAGAAAACAACGUGUUAUACAUAACACAGAGGCCAGUAAAGGAUAAGUAAAACCCAUUUCAAACCAGACCAGGAUAACUUGCAGCAUUUAUUUCUCCCUAAUGGAUGCCGGGGCUGAACCAGCGUGUCUAAUCUUAAUGUUUGGGCACCAGUAGAUAAUGUGUAACUCACCUAGGUUUCCCACACUUCUGCUGCUGUUCAACUACCCUUCUAUCGACGUGUUUAAAUUCAGAUUGAUUUGUUUACCCAAUGGAUAGUUACUGAACACCUACCAUGUCUUGGGUUCUGGCUUCUGUUUUGGUACCGAGAAAAAUAAGCUCCCAUAGCACCCAGUAGUGGAUGAACGUGACAAACACAUGCAAGAGAAGAGGCAUCGCAGUGCUAGGGAAUUGGCUUUACAACCUAUGUUUGGAGCAAGAGGGAGGAAGGGUCGGUUCUGUGUGACAGGAUGUGGACUAAGGGAACUUAGAAAAAUCUUUGAGUAAGAACUGCUCGGGCCUGGCAGUGAAGUUUUACAAUAUCCGUGUAUCUGUUUUAUUAUACUUGACCCAGACCGUAAUCUUGGUUUUCAUAUUUACAAGCAUGAAUUGAGCACCUCUCCCAUGCCAGGCUCCGAGCUAGGAACUUUCAAUCUGAACUAGGGGUAGGUGUAAAUUGGUGUUUGCACAAGAGAAGUGCAGCCCAGGAUGUAAUUCACCAAUGUUAGUUUGCUCUUAGUUUCUUUUCUUCAGGUUCCUAAGUCCUUCCCUCUCUACAUGGGACUAACUAGUCCCCAGACGUCAGAACCUAUUUCAGUUCACUGAGCUCCUGAGAGGGUUGUUACUUCCUAGCUGGGUGGGACCAUGUGAUUAGUCCUGCCCAAUGAGGUGUGAGCACAGUCAGGUUGCCACUCUGUUGGGAUAGUACCAAAGGCAAUACUAGGCCAGAGAGAACAUGUUGUCUUUCUGUCAAUCAUCCUGCUCCAUCAGUCUGGGUUGCCAAGUAGCCUUUAUUUGUAGAGGCCUUUACUGAGCCACAGUGGACAACUAAAGUAACCAAGAAGUAAAUAUUAGUCUCUUAAGUCCCCGAGAUUUGGGGCCGUUCUUCACCACAUGUCCUGAUGCGGUGUCCUGAUGAUAUACUUUGUUAGGAAGGCAUCCAUAUAACUUGAGUAAGUCAUACUUCCUAUCUAAAGAUAUGAAUUUCUCCCUCUAAUACAUAUACUCUUUCAUUAAAAAUCCAACAGUAUUAUAUGUUUAACAGAUUAGGAAUAAGAGGAAAUGAAAUGCUGUAUUGAAAUGUCCAAAUGAAAAUGUCUUAUAUAUUUCUAUAUCCUAAGGGCCUAACACAAUGAAAAUAAAUUCCUGUGGGAAGAAUAAAUGAAUAAAUGAACCAGAGAUCAUCAUAGGAAGAAGUAAGGGGAAAUGCUGAAAUGGUACAAUUCUUUGUAUUGACACUGUCUUGCCUAAAGCCUUCCCUGAUGGCUGCCUCUCUUUUCAUCCAGUCCAACUAAAAUAAUUCUAACUCAGACAAGACAGUUUUCCCUCAAAUUAAGUUUUUCCCCAGUCCCUAUUUUUUCUCUUUGCACUGUCCCUGAAUUUGCACCAAUUCCUUUGCCUUCAUUGGAGGAAGUUCCUGGCUGUCUCACUUAAAAGUCCAGUUUGCUGCAGUCCUUAGAUAUGGCUAGCAACCCACAGACACUGGCCUGAGAAUGUCUGCAGACACACAUGUCUCUAGAAAACACCUCUUUGAUGAAGCAGUUUCCCUCCCUGCUCACACAUAACAAUUUUAAGAUUGUGUCUUGGUAAGAUGAUGAUUACUUGCUGCCUGAAUAAUUUCUCUCUCUCUCUCUCUCUCUCUCUCUCUCUC
Molecule: long non-coding RNA, 8036 nt
Organism: Alexandromys fortis (reed vole)
Lineage: Eukaryota; Metazoa; Chordata; Mammalia; Rodentia; Cricetidae
Exons: 8
Source: RefSeq, a predicted model, not a curated record